AUUAGUGAAGUGUUAUUCGAAAUUUAAUGCAGAAAUAUCUAUGGAUCCCUAUCAUUUUUUUCUAGUUUAGUUUUGUUCUUCAUACAGAAAAUGUGAAAAACUUUAAAUGUGGAAAAAAAGGCAUUGCAGCUGUAGCGAGCCAGGAGUGGUAAAAGAAAUGGUUUUUCAUCCAGCAAAAAUACUUGUUGUGAUCCUAACCUAUGAAACUUUUCUAUUUCAUAGAACAAGAAGUGAAUCUAGAUGAGUUUGUACAAAAUGAUCUGAAAAGCAGAAAUGGCUACUUUGGGUUGUGUCACAAGAAUGAAAACCCAGAAUAACAACCUGGAAGUCAUGUGUGCUGCUCCUGGAAUGCCUUCCCCCUACCCCAGAGGACCAGCUGUCAGUUUGAGCAUGAUUUCAGGGCCCAGAAUAUGACGCACAUGUGAGUAAGUGUAAUAAAUCUAUUUUAGUUAGAUAGGUUUAUAUUCUUGUGUGAGAACGGUCAGCCC
This is a long non-coding RNA of Astatotilapia calliptera (eastern happy), 488 nucleotides long. Lineage: Eukaryota; Metazoa; Chordata; Actinopteri; Cichliformes; Cichlidae. The record is from Ensembl.